RNAcentral lists this unclassified non-coding RNA (875 nucleotides) under Hevea brasiliensis (rubber tree). Lineage: Eukaryota; Viridiplantae; Streptophyta; Magnoliopsida; Malpighiales; Euphorbiaceae. The record is from RNAcentral.
CGAUAUAACAAUUACUGCUCAAAUCUUGCCAGGACUUUCUUGAUUGAUGCCAAUACAAUGCAGACUAAGGCUUAUGAGGUUCUGCUCAAAGCCCAUGAAGCAGCAAUUGGUGCAUUGAAGCCUGGGAACAAGAUUAGUGCUGCAUAUCAAGCAGCCAUGUCAGUGGUUGAGAAAGAGGCUCCUGACUUAGUUCCAAAUCUGACAAAAUCAGCAGGGACUGGAAUUGGUCUUGAGUUCCGAGAGUCUGGACUGAAUAUUAAUGCCAAGAAUGAUCGAGUCCUGAAGCCAAAUAUGGUUUUUAAUGUGUCACUUGGUUUUCAGAACUUACAGAACCAAACAAAUAACCCUAAGAUCCAGAAUUUUUCUUUAUUAGUUGCUGAUACAAUUAUUGUAGGCCAAACAAAUCCAGAAGUGGGAACUUGUAAGAGCUCCAAAGCUGUUAAGGAUGUGGCAUACUCGUUCAGUGAAGAGGAUGAAGAAGUAAAACCAGAACCUAAACCUGUUGUUAAUGGCACAAAAGCCUUCAUUUCCAAGACAACACUAAGGUCUGAUACUGGGGAGAUCUCCAAAGAGGAAAUUCGGCGGCAGCACCAGGCUGAGCUUGCCCGUCAAAAGAAUGAAGAAACUGCACUUCGGCUUGCUGGUGGAGGAAGUGCAACAGGUGAUAACCGUUCAGCUGCAAAGACUUCAACUGAUUUGACAGCGUACAAGAAUGUCAAUGAUAUUCCUUCUGGAAGAGAUCUAAUGAUUCAGAUAGACCAGAAGAAUGAGGCAGUUCUUUUGCCUGUUUAUGGGAGUAUGGUACCUUUCCAUGUUGCUACAAUAAGGACAGUUUCCAGCCAGCAGGACACCAACAGAAAUUGCUAUAUUCGCAU